GCAAACUUGGUCAUUUAGAGGAAGUAAAAGUCGUAACAAGGUUUCCGUAGGUGAACCUGCGGAAGGAUCAUUAUCGAAAUCGAAGGCCUAGGAGGGGAGACCCUCCGAAGCUUUUCAAGCAUUCUCAACACCCGUGUGCACCCGCUGUAGGUCCUUCGGGAUCUACGUCUCACCUUUCGAACUCGUAUGUCCAUAGAAUGUAUCGAGUCGCUUCGGCGACGGCGAACCUUAUACAACUUUCAGCAACGGAUCUCUUGGCUCUCGCAUCGAUGAAGAACGCAGC
This 283-nucleotide unclassified non-coding RNA is filed under the name uncultured fungus. RNAcentral describes it as "partial contains small subunit ribosomal RNA, internal transcribed spacer 1, and 5.8S ribosomal RNA". The stretch from base 1 to 73 matches the Rfam family "Eukaryotic small subunit ribosomal RNA", at positions 1759 to 1831 of the family's 1831-position model. Lineage: Eukaryota; Fungi. The record is from RNAcentral.